UAGGCUAGGGUUUUCUCAAGGUGGAAAAGAAAAAUGGGGGCCUUGGGAUUUCUUUUUUUUUCAGUGUAGGAAAGGGUAAUGUUUCCUCCUAAUACUUCCCUUGCCUUCCUGUCUCAAAUUUUCUAAGUCUUGUAGGGUUUCUGUGUAAGUGAUGGAAGUGGUUUUGUCUUUGAGAGGAAUGUUGGCUGGCUCGAUGCGGGGGGCUUUGAGAGUGAUCAAAGUGAAAGGUAUCGGACCAGGCUUCAUUCCCCUCAAACAUUUUCAUUUUUUGCGGCUCUACUUCUUAGGCUUUUUGAUCAGAGAGACUGAACAAUUAUUAUUGGUUACAAAGGAGAAACGGUUGAUGGGAAUGUUGUUUGGCUCGAGGUCAUCUAGGUUGAUCUUUAUUUCCAUGAAAUUUUCUUGGAUUAAUUUCAUUUUUUUUUUCCGGGAAAGUUUCUGCAAUACAUAUAGCCCUAUAUGAUCUCGGACCAGGCUUCAUUCCCGUCAACCAAAACAACUUCCUCUCUCUGGUUCUGUCCAGGUUCAUCAGAUGUUGUAUCCAGGCCAUGUUUCUGGUCAAAUGGUAAUAUCAAUUUCUCUCUCUCUCUCUUGAUUGAGUCUAUGAGUUUCUCUUCUUCUUGUCUCUCUUUCUCUCUAAGCUUCAGGUUUCUUGCAUGGAAUCCUUUUGACCCACUUGUCAAAAAUGCUAACAAACGAAAGAUCAGAAAGAUGCCAUUGACUUCUUUUUUUGCUGCAGCAGCCCUCCCUUUUUUGUGUGUUGACCAACAUCUGUUUUCAUUUUUUCCAUGGUAGAUUCUCUCUCUCUUUCCAGGCACAACAACACACACUCAAACCCACGGUCUUACACUAAUGAUUUCUCUUUCCCAAUUAAGACUAGUUUUCUUUCUUUUAAGAGUGUUUUGUUCUUUCUUUUUCAUGUUCUUCCAAGGGAUCAGAGCAAUAGUUUGUACUAGGAGACAAAGGUAGCUAAAAGGUGGAACUGUACUCACUUCAAGGAAAAUACAACCUUUCAGAGGCGGUUUUGAGGCAUCUAGGAAUUAGUUUUAGAACAACAUCCAUGUGUCCAAAAACUUCACCCUCUCACAUGUUUAUGUAUGCAUGCAUGUAUUUGUAUGUAUGCUAUACUACAUGUUUAUAUCCAUGUACUAUGUGCAUAUGCAUGCCAUAUGUGUAUAUCUGGUGACUUUGCAUUGAACUCAUGAAAGUGAUGAGGUCUUCCCCAUGUGAAGUGUGAUAUUGGGUGUGGAAUUUUAUAGGUUUUAUAUACAUUGGAUGAUAAGAAAUUAAAAAUGUUUUUUUUAAAAGUAUAAUAAUAUUUUUGUUGAGGAAAGAUUUACAAAAGACUUACCCUUCAGUAGUGGUGCAGAACAGUACAAGAAGAGACAUAAAAUCCCAUUCUUCACUUGACCUGUGUAUGUAGAACUGAGACAAAUCCAAUCCGGUUGCAGUGGGAUCAAUCUUUUGUAAAUGUUAAUUAAUGAGGAAUGAUUGAAGGCAUUCAAGAAACUAAAAGUUGGUGGAGAUCUUAAUCAUAUGCAUACUUUGGAUACUUACCUGUACUUUAGGCAUGCACUCAGAAAAAGCUAACUCUUUGACAGACGGACUUGUUAAAGCUAGAAUCGACCGCAAUAAACACUAUUUUCGUGUCAUUUUAUGGAGGAUUUAGCCCUUUUUUUCUUCUCGCCAUUGUUAUUAACUCAUGAAUGUGUUACUGUAAACACAGAUUCUGUCUCAACCUAACUUUGGUUAGGUCUUUACUUUCGAUGAUCAAUAAUAUGAAGAUAAAAGGAAUCUCUUUUAGCAA
This is a long non-coding RNA of Theobroma cacao (cacao), 1807 nucleotides long. RefSeq lists it as uncharacterized. The record is from RefSeq and is a predicted model, not a curated record. Lineage: Eukaryota; Viridiplantae; Streptophyta; Magnoliopsida; Malvales; Malvaceae.